Molecule: ribosomal RNA, 793 nt
Filed under: Aphanisticus yasumatsui
Lineage: Eukaryota; Metazoa; Arthropoda; Insecta; Coleoptera; Buprestidae
Description: eukaryotic LSU rRNA
Rfam family: Eukaryotic large subunit ribosomal RNA
Source: RNAcentral
GCUGAACCCCGCGAUCGUUUUUUCGGUCGCGUGGAAUGUAGCGUUCGGGAGCGUCCGUUAUCCCGUGAGCGUGUGGUGCGUCCAAGUCCUUCUUGAACGGGGCCAUUAUCCCAGAGAGGGUGCCAGGCCCGUAGUGACCACUGCCGUUUGCGGGAGGCCGUCUCCUUAGAGUCGGGUUGCUUGAGAGUGCAGCCCUAAGUGGGUGGUAAACUCCAUCUAAGGCUAAAUAUUACCACGAGACCGAUAGCGAACAAGUACCGUGAGGGAAAGUUGAAAAGAACUUUGAAGAGAGAGUUCAAAAGUACGUGAAACCGUUCAGAGGUAAACCUGAGAAACCCGAAAGGUCGAUGGGAGAGAUUCAACCGCGUUGCGGGCGUCGGCAGUUCGAACGAUAUCGACGGACGGCGAUUCCUUCUCGGUUUCGUUUUCCGUGUCGUGCGUUCUUGUUCGGCCUCGUACGCGUGCACUUCUCUCCUAGUAGGACGUCGCGACCCGUUGGGUGUCGGUCUGGGGCUUCCGGUGGUGCCCGAACGAUCGGUCUAGUGCCGCGUCGUUCGGACCCGGGACGCCGUUGUUCGACCGACUCGCCCGACGGUAUGGUUUAUAGUAGAGAGAGACGAGGGGCCGCGAUCUGAUCGCGCUUGACCCGUGCAGGUGCGAUCGCGUUUCGAAAUUCGGACUAUGUCCGGAUCAGAAGCCGGUCCGCCGUUCGCUGCGGUGUUCUCGAGCCGACCCCAAUAUACACGAUUGUCGUUGUAUGUGCCGUAAGAAAGCACGAAUGUCUGUCNGCNAC